This is a long non-coding RNA of Galeopterus variegatus (Sunda flying lemur), 376 nucleotides long. RefSeq lists it as uncharacterized. Lineage: Eukaryota; Metazoa; Chordata; Mammalia; Dermoptera; Cynocephalidae. The transcript has 5 exons. The record is from RefSeq and is a predicted model, not a curated record.
GCCUGGCUCUCUCUCCCUCGCUCUGCCUCAUCUCAUUGUGUCAAAGUAGGCCAAAUCCGAAGUCCUUUCCAGGGAGUGGCUCUGUUCAUCUUAUUCUCCAUCCAGAGUAGAAACAGUGUGAGAAGGAGAGAGACACAUUCAGCAGGCAAAGGACUCGGUGGAAAGAGCAGAGCACCGUAGACACACCUGUUAGAUAUGCUGCUCUCGGGACCCCCGGUGCUGCUGCUGCUCACUGCACUCGUCAGCCCCUCCGACUCGAUACCCCUAGAGGUUAAUGGUCAAGGAGGAGAUAAUGUAACUCAAGUGACUCAAGUGACUCAGGAAACAUUCACAGAAGAUCCUAAUCUGGUGAACGACCCUGCUACAGACGAAACAG